UACGUAGGGUGCGAGCGUUAAUCGGAAUUACUGGGCGUAAAGCGUGCGCAGGCGGGUCGCCAAGUCAGGUGUGAAAUCCCCGGGCUUAACCUGGGAAUUGCGCUUGAAACUAGCGGGCUUGAGUGUGGCAGAGGGGGGUGGAAUUCCACGUGUAGCAGUGAAAUGCGUAGAGAUGUGGAGGAACACCGAUGGCGAAGGCAGCCCCCUGGGUCAACACUGACGCUCAUGCACGAAAGCGUGGGGAGCAAACAGG
Molecule: ribosomal RNA, 253 nt
Filed under: uncultured bacterium
Lineage: Bacteria
Description: partial 16S ribosomal RNA
Rfam family: Bacterial small subunit ribosomal RNA
Source: RNAcentral